AUUGAACGCUGGCGGCAGGCCUAACACAUGCAAGUCGAGCGAGCGGCGGACGGGUGAGGAAUGUCUGGGAAACUGCCUGUUGGAGGGGGAUAACUACUGGAAACGCUAGCUAAUCCCGCAUAACAUCAGAUGUGCCCAGAUGGGAGUAGCUAGUAGGUGGGGUAACGGCUCACCUAGGCGACGAUCCCUAGCCGGUCUGAGAGGAGGACCAGCCACACUGGAACUGAGACACGGUCCAGACUCCUACGGGAGGCAGCAGUGGGGAAUAUUGCACAAUGGGCGCAAGCCUGAUGCAGCCAUGCCGCGUGUGUGAAGAAGGCCUUCGGGUUGUAAAGCACUUUCAGCGGGGAGGCGUUACCCGCAGAAGAAGCACCGGCUAACUCCGUGCCAGCAGCCGCGGUAAUUC
Molecule: ribosomal RNA, 406 nt
Filed under: uncultured bacterium
Lineage: Bacteria
Description: partial 16S ribosomal RNA
Rfam family: Bacterial small subunit ribosomal RNA
Source: RNAcentral